CAUACGGGCGGCAGCAGUGGGGAAUAUUGGACAAUGGGCGAAAGCCUGAUCCAGCCAUGCCGCGUGUGUGAAGAAGGCCUUCGGGUUGUAAAGCACUUUCAGUGGGGAAGAAAGCCUUGGGGCUAAUACCCUCGAGGAAGGACAUCACCCACAGAAGAAGCACCGGCUAACUCCGUGCCAGCAGCCGCGGUAAUACGGAGGGUGCGAGCGUUAAUCGGAAUUACUGGGCGUAAAGCGCGCGUAGGCGGUCUGAUAAGCCGGUUGUGAAAGCCCCGGGCUCAACCUGGGAACGGCAUCCGGAACUGUCAGGCUAGAGUGCAGGAGAGGAAGGUAGAAUUCCCGGUGUAGCGGUGAAAUGCGUAGAGAUCGGGAGGAAUACCAGUGGCGAAGGCGGCCUUCUGGACUGACACUGACGCUGAGGUGCGAAAGCGUGGGUAGCAAACAGGAUUAGAUACCCCAGUAGUC
RNAcentral lists this ribosomal RNA (465 nucleotides) under Vreelandella stevensii. Its description in RNAcentral is "partial 16S ribosomal RNA". It matches the Rfam family "Bacterial small subunit ribosomal RNA", at positions 338 to 795 of the family's 1533-position model. Lineage: Bacteria; Pseudomonadati; Pseudomonadota; Gammaproteobacteria; Oceanospirillales; Halomonadaceae. The record is from RNAcentral.